UACGUAGGGUGCAAGCGUUAAUCGGAAUUACUGGGCGUAAAGCGUGCGCAGGCGGUGAUGUAAGACAGAUGUGAAAUCCCCGGGCUCAACCUGGGAACUGCAUUUGGGACUGCAUCGCUGGAGUGCGGCAGAGGGGGAUGGAAUUCCGCGUGUAGCAGUGAAAUGCGUAGAUAUGCGGAGGAACACCGAUGGCGAAGGCAAUCCCCUGGGCCUGCACUGACGCUCAUGCACGAAAGCGUGGGGAGCAAACAGG
This 253-nucleotide ribosomal RNA is filed under the name uncultured bacterium. Its description in RNAcentral is "partial 16S ribosomal RNA". It matches the Rfam family "Bacterial small subunit ribosomal RNA", at positions 524 to 776 of the family's 1533-position model. The record is from RNAcentral.